This 432-nucleotide ribosomal RNA is filed under the name uncultured bacterium. Its description in RNAcentral is "partial 16S ribosomal RNA". It matches the Rfam family "Bacterial small subunit ribosomal RNA", at positions 29 to 507 of the family's 1533-position model. The record is from RNAcentral.
ACGAACGCUGGCGGCAUGCCUAACACAUGCAAGUCGAACGAGACCUUCGGGUCUAGUGGCGCACGGGUGCGUAACGCGUGGGAACCUGCCCUUAGGUUCGGCAUAACUCCCCGAAAGGGGUGCUAAUACCGGCUAAUGUCUUCGGACCAAAGAUUUAUCGCCUUUGGAUGGGCCCGCGUUGGAUUAGCUAGUUGGUAGGGUAAAAGCCUACCAAGGCGACGAUCCAUAGCUGGUCUGCGAGGAUGAUCAGCCACACUGGGACUGAGACACGGCCCAGACUCCGACGGGAGGCAGCAGUGGGGAAUAUUGGACAAUGGGCGAAAGCCUGAUCCAGCAAUGCCGCGUGAGUGAUGAAGGCCUUAGGGUUGUAAAGCUCUUUUACCCGGGAUGAUAAUGACAGUACCGGGAGAAUAAGCUCCGGCUAACUCCGUG